UGGGGAAUAUUGCACAAUGGGCGCAAGCCUGAUGCAGCGACGCCGCGUGGGGGAUGACGGCCUUCGGGUUGUAAACCUCUUUCACCAGGGACGAAGCGCAAGUGACGGUACCUGGAGAAGAAGCACCGGCCAACUACGUGCCAGCAGCCGCGGUAAUACGUAGGGUGCGAGCGUUGUCCGGAAUUACUGGGCGUAAAGGGCUUGUAGGUGGUUUGUCGCGUUGUUCGUGAAAUGCCACAGCUUAACUGUGGGCGUGCGGGCGAUACGGGCAGACUGGAGUACUGCAGGGGAGACUGGAAUUCCUGGUGUAGCGGUGGAAUGCGCAGAUAUCAGGAGGAACACCGGUGGCGAAGGCGGGUCUCUGGGCAGUAACUGACGCUGAGAAGCGAAAGCGUGGGGAGCGAACAGGAUUAGAUACCCCCGUAGUCC
This 429-nucleotide ribosomal RNA is filed under the name uncultured bacterium. Its description in RNAcentral is "bacterial SSU rRNA". It matches the Rfam family "Bacterial small subunit ribosomal RNA", at positions 355 to 796 of the family's 1533-position model. The record is from RNAcentral.